Xenopus tropicalis (tropical clawed frog) is the source of this 370-nucleotide long non-coding RNA. RefSeq lists it as uncharacterized. The transcript is spliced from 3 exons. The record is from RefSeq and is a predicted model, not a curated record. NCBI's taxonomy places the organism in Eukaryota, Metazoa, Chordata, Amphibia, Anura, Pipidae.
UCAUGGAUUAGGUUUUCUAUUUCUUUAUUCCUUUCUUUUUUUAUUUUAGAGCACAAGGCUAUAAGGUGACCUCUCAAGACACAUUUAUGUGUUUCCCAUAAGAUGGCUGGGUUCGUUUCAGUUCGGCUCUUAGACUGUCGGUCGAUUCGCGUAGCAGGUUUUUGAUGUCAUCCUUCGUUGGAAGUGCUUUCAGAUUGAAGAUCUCCUGAUGAAUUUCCCAAUACUGACAACUUCCUGGUCAAGUGAUCAACCAACAAAUUUUCCCUCUGUGAUACAUAUGUGACAUUUGGAUGCAGCAUAAACUGGGCUCAGUCAAAUAUAGUCUUGGUCAAAUACAAUAGAUCUGAUGAUUUGUUUCCUCCUUGAUGAG